This is a long non-coding RNA of Quercus robur (English oak), 3373 nucleotides long. RefSeq lists it as uncharacterized. The transcript is spliced from 5 exons. The record is from RefSeq and is a predicted model, not a curated record. NCBI's taxonomy places the organism in Eukaryota, Viridiplantae, Streptophyta, Magnoliopsida, Fagales, Fagaceae.
AAUGUUUGGUCCAUUUGGCCGAUCACUUGGCUAAGCAAUUAUAAGCACGUGCAAGAAACUAACUCUUUUUUACAUACAUAUAGAUAUAUGCUUGAGCUACCCUUCCAUCUUAUAUUUUCUACACCCUUCAAUUUAUGUAGUGAUGAUUCAAUGAUUGAUCAUUUCAAUUUUCAAGUAUGGACGUUGCCAAUUUUGAGCUUCAAUUUUUCAGCCCAGGGAUGAGCAUAAGAAAUUGGUAAAGAAUCAAAAGUCAAAGAAGAAUCAAUGCAGUUCGCGACUAGCUCACAAGAAGCUCGUGAGAAGAGUAACCGCAAAAAGUCACGUGUGAAGCACAUAACUAGAAGCCGAAGAGUUAUGCCAGGCUGUUAAAUUUGCGAGUACUUCGCAAGAAAGACCAUCUCGCGAGGUACUCACAAAACUCUUUGUUUGGCAAAAAAAAAAAGUGUUUUACCAAAUUCUUUACUCACAUUAUAUAUACCUUCAUUACCCACGAAAUUUAAGGAGUGCUUUUCAGAGAGAAAAUCCUAGCAAAAACACUUGAGAGUUAGAGAUUGUCAUACCCACAAUUAUCUACACAUUUUCUCUUGGUUUUCUUCAACUCCUACCUCUCCAUCUCUACAUUCCUGUAGAAGUUCUUAGCUCAAACACUUAACUUACCCAAUUUGAGUGUUGAGUCAAGUUUUGGUGCCUUUGGGAAGCAUUAGAAGGAGUCAUUAAGUGGCGGAUGCAAUCGGGCUGAAUUGCAGGAUCCGGAAAGCUAGCGAAAACAAGACUCCGAAAAGUCCGUUGGUAGCAAGAGUUUGGAGGGUUCAAGUACAUAAGAUAGACUAGGCUUGGAGGGUCUUUUGUUAUUCGUGUACUCCAACUUAUUCACUAAUAGAUUGAUUUCGAUUUGAAGAGUCACAGAGAGGUUUUUCGCUGAAUUCUACAGUUUCCUCUUCGAUAACACGUCUUGGUGUUAUUUUGUGUUUGCAUCUCUCUUCUCUACUCUUUAAGCUUUUCUUUUAUUGUUCAUUGUGGUUGAGUAUGGUUUAGAGUAGUGUUACCGGUUUAUCGUGCUUAUUUACUCUUAUUUCACACUUUGAUAAGUUAGAGUAAAACCAAUCUAGCCGUAAUUUUAAAAUUAGGGUCUGAACAAGCAUUAGUAUUUUCACACUAAUUGAGCUUUCGGCAUUACUUAUCUAAUUUAAAUUAAACUAUUAAACUCCAUACUAACUAUGUCCAAAGAAUAUUCACAUCAAAGGUGCUAAAAUAACUAAAAUGCUUUUUUAGCACUCAAAACAUUAAAAAACUUACUAAGGUGCUAAAAGUAAAAAAUUUAAACCCCUAUCUUGACUAUAUUACUGUAGCUAGCUGGUAAAUACAAAAAGCAUUACCGAAAUGAAAGUUAAAGAGAGACUCUUGAGUGGUAAAGCUUUUUUUUUUUUUCAAAAAAAAAAAAAAAACUUAAAUGAAGUUGUAAAAGAAUAAAGUAUUUGAUAUUGGAUGUAUUAUAUUGUAAAAUAGUGUGUUAAAAAUUUAAAAUAAAUAAAGUAAUUUUUUGAGUCGAUAAAAACUAAGGGCACGUUUGGUAAAGAAAUUUGAAUAAUGUUGUUUGUAUUUUUUUAAAAUAUGUAUGAGUGAAAAAAUGUAUAAUAUUAUUUAAAAAUUGAAAAUGUAUUAUUUAUCUACUCUACUAAACGGGCCUAAAUAUUUUUAGCACCUUUACGAAAUGCUCUAAAAAAUGGUUUGUCAAAGAAAAAGAAGACGUGACUUUUUCCAAUGUUAUUUAUUUUCUUGACUGAGGCGACAGACAAACAAAUAUAGUGCAAAGCUUUUAGGCUUAAAAAUUAAAACAGGAAUCUAGUAGUCGACAGAGAUACUUUGAGCUCUCAAAUGGAGCUGCAAGGGCUGCAACCUGAAGCCAACUACUUUGGGAAUUGGGACCCAAAAAUAUACCAUGAAAACAACCACGACAAAAACAAUUGAGAAAGCUUUUCAAAAAAAACAGUACACGUAAAACAAAUUAAGCUCCACAACCUGAGGGCAGAGCAUAUAUAGGCUGUCUCAAACUCUAAAAAUAAAAAAUAUAAAUAAAAAAGAAAAAAAAAGCACAUACAUGUUAAACAAAUUAAAGGCCUACUUAGCUGCCAUUGAGUAAGAAAGGGCCCUGCAAGACCAUAAUUGUUGGUCCCUUUCCCUUUUUCAUGUGAGCUUGAUUUCUUGACUGUCUUCCAAGGAAUCGUCAAGACUCAAGAGAUAGUUGACAGCUCUCUCUCACGAGUCAACUUAAGUGAGCGACUUAAAUUCCUCUUGCAAUUAAGAGGCCAUAGUUGUUGGUCCCUUUGAGAUUUGAUCUCGUGAACUCCCAUGUAUGACCAAGAGGGUUUUUUUUUUACGUAAGACUUUUGUUUAAUUAGGACAAAGAGAGAAAAGUAAUGGUAGAAUGAGAAAUCCUCUUCCUAUAUAGGCAUCUUAUCUAUAUAUAGUUGCACUAAUACCAUUGCCCAUAUAUAGUAAACAUGACAUAUGACCCUACAAAGAAAGGAUGUUUUAUCUCACGAGCCUCUCACAACAUAAAUAAUGUUUGUCUUAUACAUUAUGAGAGAGGUUUCAUAAAACUGUACAUAAAUAAUGUUUGUAAUGUUUGUCUUAUACAUUAUGAGAGUGGUCUCAUAAAACUGUAUCAUAUAUGGGAUACUUUUUGCUAUUUAACAUACGAGCCUAUAUGAGCCAUUAUAGAUAGAGUGGUAUUUAUUUGAGUUUUCUAUGCGAGAGAUUUAAUGCCAAAACCAAGUGAUUGAGAGGGUACACCCGCGGAACAACAGUACGUAAGGAGAUUGAUAGAAUGGUGAGAGAGACACACACAUUAUUGACAAGUUUGGUUAUCGACCAAGCCCACGAUCAAGUAAUUGAAUUGUCAACGUCGGCUCUGAUGAUCGAGUUUGAACUGAUCAGUAACAGCCAAAGUUGAUUGGUUUCGGCGGCUUCUAUACUUCUCACACUGGUGGGCACCUCUCCAUCAAUUUCAAGCUGUUUCCAAUUCCGAGGUUGAGCUUCAAGAAUUUGGGAAUAUCCUAUCAUCAACUUCUACUUCAAUGGAUAAUCUACCAGCCCUGCUUAUUUUCAGGGGGGAGGGGGCAUCGACUUUUCAUUCAGCAUGCAACAAAAAAACUAUAUUUGAUCUGAUCACACUACAAAACACGCGGGUCAGCUUCCCAGAUGGCAGCAUGGUUGAAGGUCGGCGCGGAAGAAGAAGAAGAAAUGAGAGGAUUAAAAGUAGGCUGUUGUUGUUGUUGAUUCACAAACAUAUUGUCAUCAAUCAAAGAAUCCAGAAAUGAAGAGAAGGUAUCCUCAUUGCAGUUUUCAAUAUAAUCUUCUUCAUUUCCUUGUA